AAGCAAGAAGCGAAGUAAUCGCAACCAGUUUCGACCUGGUUAUUGGUAAAUUUACCCUUACUUUACUUA
This 69-nucleotide transfer RNA is filed under the name Neotermes koshunensis. RNAcentral describes it as "tRNA-Arg". Lineage: Eukaryota; Metazoa; Arthropoda; Insecta; Blattodea; Kalotermitidae. The record is from RNAcentral.